Molecule: long non-coding RNA, 414 nt
Organism: Agrilus planipennis (emerald ash borer)
Lineage: Eukaryota; Metazoa; Arthropoda; Insecta; Coleoptera; Buprestidae
Exons: 3
Source: RefSeq, a predicted model, not a curated record
UGUUUUAUUUAUAAUGCAACAACAAAAUUUGGAUAAAGUUCUAUUAAUGUGUUAAUCCUGUAUUAAUAUAGUUAUAAAUGAAUAAUUUUGUGACAGCAGAGAAUUACAUACAAUUUCCAAACUGUCUGCAAACUUAGAAAAGGGUACACCGGUCACAACAAAGUUUGUAUAGUUAUAGAAGUACAUAAGUUUGAGAGAAAUUCUGUAACUUAAUUAACUGCUAGUGUAUGAACUGUUCAUUUAGACGUCUAAAGUUCAAGCAAACCUAAAUGUUUGUAUACAAAGACCAGUGCUUAGUAUAUUAUUAUAUUGUUUGAAAUGAAUACAAGAGGAAACGGUGGACGUAAAAAAUUGAAAUUAAUGCCCAAGCUUCUUAUUAAGUGCAAUAAAAGUUGGGACCAUUGUAUAUUUCCC